GACGAACGCUGGCGGCGUGCUUAACACAUGCAAGUCGAACGGAAAGGCCCUGCUUUUGUGGGGUGCUCGAGUGGCGAACGGGUGAGUAACACGUGAGUAACCUGCCCUUGACUUUGGGAUAACUUCAGGAAACUGGGGCUAAUACCGGAUAGGAGCUCCUGCUGCAUGGUGGGGGUUGGAAAGUUUCGGCGGUUGGGGAUGGACUCGCGGCUUAUCAGCUUGUUGGUGGGGUAGUGGCUUACCAAGGCUUUGACGGGUAGCCGGCCUGAGAGGGUGACCGGCCACAUUGGGACUGAGAUACGGCCCAGACUCCUACGGGAGGCAGCAGUGGGGAAUAUUGCACAAUGGGCGGAAGCCUGAUGCAGCAACGCCGCGUGCGGGAUGACGGCCUUCGGGUUGUAAACCGCUUUCGCCUGUGAAGAAGAGUGAGUGACGGUAAUGGGUAAAGAAGCACCGGCUAACUACGUG
Molecule: ribosomal RNA, 468 nt
Filed under: uncultured bacterium
Lineage: Bacteria
Description: partial 16S ribosomal RNA
Rfam family: Bacterial small subunit ribosomal RNA
Source: RNAcentral